UACGUAGGGGGCAAGCGUUGUCCGGAAUCAUUGGGCGUAAAGCGCGUGUAGGCGGCCCGGUAAGUCCGCUGUGAAAGUCGGGGGCUCAACCCUCGAAUGCCGGUGGAUACUGUCGGGCUAGAGUGCGGGAGAGGCGAGUGGAAUUCCUGGUGUAGCGGUGAAAUGCGCAGAUAUCAGGAAGAACACCCGUGGCGAAAGCGGCUCUCUGGGACGGUACUGACGCUGAGACGCGAAAGCGUGGGGAGCAAACAGG
Molecule: ribosomal RNA, 253 nt
Filed under: uncultured bacterium
Lineage: Bacteria
Description: partial 16S ribosomal RNA
Rfam family: Bacterial small subunit ribosomal RNA
Source: RNAcentral